AACGUAGGAGACAAACGUUAUCCGGAGUUACUGGGCGUAAAGGGCGUGUAGGUGGUUUCGUAAGUCUGGCGUGAAAUUUUUCGGCUUAACCGGGAAAGGUCGUCGGAUACUGCGGAGCUAGAGGACGGUAGAGGCGUGUGGAAUUCCGGGUGUAGUGGUGAAAUGCGUAGAUAUCAGGAGGAACACCUGUGGUGUAGACAGCUUACUGGACCAUUUCUGACGCUGAGACACGAAAGCGUGGGUAGCAAACAGG
RNAcentral lists this ribosomal RNA (253 nucleotides) under uncultured bacterium. Its description in RNAcentral is "partial 16S ribosomal RNA". It matches the Rfam family "Bacterial small subunit ribosomal RNA", at positions 524 to 776 of the family's 1533-position model. The record is from RNAcentral.